RNAcentral lists this ribosomal RNA (1338 nucleotides) under uncultured bacterium. Its description in RNAcentral is "bacterial SSU rRNA". It matches the Rfam family "Bacterial small subunit ribosomal RNA", at positions 28 to 1387 of the family's 1533-position model. The record is from RNAcentral.
GACGAACGCUGGCGGCGCGCCUAACACAUGCAAGUCGAACGAGCGAGAGAGAGCUUGCUUUCUCGAGCGAGUGGCGAACGGGUGAGUAACGCGUGAGGAACCUGCCUCAAAGAGGGGGACAACAGUUGGAAACGACUGCUAAUACCGCAUAAGCCCACGGUGCUGCAUGGCACAGAGGGAAAAGGAGCAAUCCGCUUUGAGAUGGCCUCGCGUCCGAUUAGCUAGUUGGUGAGGUAACGGCCCACCAAGGCGACGAUCGGUAGCCGGACUGAGAGGUUGAACGGCCACAUUGGGACUGAGACACGGCCCAGACUCCUACGGGAGGCAGCAGUGGGGAAUAUUGCACAAUGGGGGAAACCCUGAUGCAGCGACGCCGCGUGGAGGAAGAAGGUCUUCGGAUUGUAAACUCCUGUUGUUGGGGAAGAUAAUGACGGUACCCAACAAGGAAGUGACGGCUAACUACGUGCCAGCAGCCGCGGUAAAACGUAGGUCACAAGCGUUGUCCGGAAUUACUGGGUGUAAAGGGAGCGCAGGCGGGAAGACAAGUUGGAAGUGAAAUCUAUGGGCUCAACCCAUAAACUGCUUUCAAAACUGUUUUUCUUGAGUAGUGCAGAGGUAGGCGGAAUUCCCGGUGUAGCGGUGGAAUGCGUAGAUAUCGGGAGGAACACCAGUGGCGAAGGCGGCCUACUGGGCACCAACUGACGCUGAGGCUCGAAAGUGUGGGUAGCAAACAGGAUUAGAUACCCUGGUAGUCCACACCGUAAACGAUGAUUACUAGGUGUUGGAGGAUUGACCCCCUCAGUGCCGCAGUUAACACAAUAAGUAAUCCACCUGGGGAGUACGACCGCAAGGUUGAAACUCAAAGGAAUUGACGGGGGCCCGCACAAGCAGUGGAGUAUGUGGUUUAAUUCGACGCAACGCGAAGAACCUUACCAAGUCUUGACAUCCCUUGACAGGCAUAGAAAUAUGUUUUCUCUUCGGAGCAAGGAGACAGGUGGUGCAUGGUUGUCGUCAGCUCGUGUCGUGAGAUGUUGGGUUAAGUCCCGCAACGAGCGCAACCCUUAUGGUCAGUUACUACGCAAGAGGACUCUGGCCAGACUGCCCUUGACAAAACGGAGGAAGGUGGGGAGGACGUCAAAUCAUCAUGCCCCCUAUGACUUGGGCUACACACGUACUACAAUGGCGUUAAACAAAGAGAAGCAAGACCGCGAGGUGGAGCAAAACUCAGAAACAACGUCCCAGUUCGGACUGCAGGCUGCAACUCGCCUGCACGAAGUCGGAAUUGCUAGUAAUCGUGGAUCAGCAUGCCACGGUGAAUACGAUCCCGGGCCUUGCACA